RNAcentral lists this ribosomal RNA (595 nucleotides) under uncultured Bacteroidota bacterium. RNAcentral describes it as "bacterial SSU rRNA". It matches the Rfam family "Bacterial small subunit ribosomal RNA", at positions 122 to 715 of the family's 1533-position model. Lineage: Bacteria; Pseudomonadati; Bacteroidota. The record is from RNAcentral.
GAACCUGCCUCAUACUCGGAAAUAGCCUUGCGAAAGUAAGAUUAAUGCCCGAUGUUUUCAGCGGUCCGCAUGAACUGCUGAACAAAGAUUUAUCGGUAUGAGAUGGCGAUGCGUCCCAUUAGCUUGUUGGCGGGGUAACAGCCCACCAAGGCAUCGAUGGGUAGGGGUUCUGAGAGGAAGGUCCCCCACAUUGGAACUGAGACACGGUCCAAACUCCUACGGGAGGCAGCAGUGAGGAAUAUUGGUCAAUGGACGCAAGUCUGAACCAGCCAAGUAGCGUGCAGGAAGACGGCCCUCCGGGCUGUAAACUGCUUUUAGUUGGGAAUAAAGUGCAGCUCGUGAGCUGUUUUGUAUGUACCAUCAGAAAAAGGACCGGCUAAUUCCGUGCCAGCAGCCGCGGUAAUACGGAAGGUCCAGGCGUUAUCCGGAUUUAUUGGGUUUAAAGGGAGCGCAGGCGGACUCUUAAGUCAGUUGUGAAAUACGGCGGCUCAACCGUCGGACUGCAGUUGAUACUGGGAGUCUUGAGUGCACACAGGGAUGCUGGAAUUCAUGGUGUAGCGGUGAAAUGCUCAGAUAUCACGAAGAACUCCGAUUG